CUGCGAGUGAAGCGGGAAGAGCUCAAAUUUAAAAUCUGGCGGCCUGUUGCCGUCCGAGUUGUAAGCUAGAGAAGUGCCGUCCGCGCUGGGGCCAUGUACAAGUCUCCUGGAACGGAGCGUCGUGGAGGGUGAGAACCCCGUCUCUGACAUGGACCUCCCGGGGCAUCGCGAUGGCGCUCUCAAAGAGUCGAGUUGUUUGGGAAUGCAGCUCCAAAUGGGUGGUAAACUCCAUCUAAAGCUAAACAUUGGCGAGAGACCGAUAGCGAACAAGUACUGUGAGGGAAAGAUGAAAAGAACUUUGGAAAGAGAGUUAAACAGUACGUGAAAUUGUUGAAAGGGAAACGCUUGAAGUCAGUCGCGUCGGCCCGGGAUCAGCCCCGCAACCGCGAGGUGCACUCCCCCGUCGACGGGUCAGCACCAGUUUCGACCGUUGGAGAAAGGUCGGGGGAAUGUGGCAUCCUCGGAUGUGCUUAUAGCCCCCGAUCGCAUGCAUCGGUUGGGAUUGAGGAACUCGGCGCGCCGCCAGGCCGGGUCUCAGACCACGUCCGCGCCCAGGAUGCUGGCACAAUGGCUUUAAUCGACCCGUCUUGAAACACGGACCAAGGAGUCUAACAUGCCUGCGAGUGUUUGGGUGGAAAACCCAUGCGCGCAAUGAAAGUGAAAGUUGAGAUCCCCGUUUCGGGGAGCAUCG
This 691-nucleotide ribosomal RNA is filed under the name uncultured Archaeorhizomycetes. Its description in RNAcentral is "eukaryotic LSU rRNA". It matches the Rfam family "Eukaryotic large subunit ribosomal RNA", at positions 87 to 760 of the family's 3401-position model. Lineage: Eukaryota; Fungi; Ascomycota; Archaeorhizomycetes. The record is from RNAcentral.